GAUGAACGCUGACAGAAUGCUUAACACAUGCAAGUCAACUUGAAUUUGGGUUUUUAACUUAGAUUUGGGUGGCGGACGGGUGAGUAACGCGUAAAGAACUUGCCUCACAGCUAGGGACAACAUUUAGAAAUGAAUGCUAAUACCUGAUAUUAUGAUUUUAAGGCAUCUUAGAAUUAUGAAAGCUAUAAGCACUGUGAGAGAGCUUUGCGUCCCAUUAGCUAGUUGGAGAGGUAACAGCUCACCAAGGCGAUGAUGGGUAGCCGGCCUGAGAGGGUGAACGGCCACAAGGGGACUGAGACACGGCCCUUACUCCUACGGGAGGCAGCAGUGGGGAAUAUUGGACAAUGGACCGAGAGUCUGAUCCAGCAAUUCUGUGUGCACGAUGAAGUUUUUCGGAAUGUAAAGUGCUUUCAGUUGGGAAGAAACAAAUGACGGUACCAACAGAAGAAGUGACGGCUAAAUACGUGCCAGCAGCCGCGGUAAUACGUAUGUCACGAGCGUUAUCCGGAUUUAUUGGGCGUAAAGCGCGUCUAGGUGGUUAUGUA
This 545-nucleotide ribosomal RNA is filed under the name uncultured Fusobacterium sp. RNAcentral's name for it is "bacterial SSU rRNA". It matches the Rfam family "Bacterial small subunit ribosomal RNA", at positions 28 to 585 of the family's 1533-position model. The record is from RNAcentral. Lineage: Bacteria; Fusobacteriati; Fusobacteriota; Fusobacteriia; Fusobacteriales; Fusobacteriaceae.